This 3974-nucleotide long non-coding RNA is filed under the name Sus scrofa (pig). Its description in RNAcentral is "lncRNA (ENSSSCG00055027794.1)". Lineage: Eukaryota; Metazoa; Chordata; Mammalia; Artiodactyla; Suidae. The record is from RNAcentral.
AAGAAAAAUGGAAGGUGAAGCCACCAAGUAGCCUCUGACAUGCUUUGGCAUCUUCCUCUCCCUCGACUGGCGCCCGGCUGCGGACCCUACAGGCUUUAUGCCCUUAGCCUUUGAGUUUUGCUUAUAAACACAGGAUCUUGUCCCUUUCAGCUUUAUAUUUAUUUGAUUUUAUUAUUUGCCCCUCCUCCACCUUCCCUAAGCCAGACUUGAAGAAGAAAUGUUUUAUGUCAGUGGGCAGCUGUUUUAAAAGUUAUUGAAAAUAAAUAAUGUAGGGUUUUACGUUUCAGCUCAAUUCUGAACAUCUUUAGGACCUCCAGCCUCUGGCGGGAUGCUCAUUGUUUUCCAGUGAACUUGUGGAAGUGCAGAGAAAGUAGUAAAGGGCCAUGUAGGUGUUAGCAACCCUAUGAAUUCUUGCUGAUUGACAAAUUCAGUUUUGUGACCGUGUGUCUGCACAGGUGGUAUUUUACAUGCUGCUGUCACACUGUGGUUGCUCCUGUUGAUUGCAGUUUUUUCAUUCGCUUUUCCAGUUACUAUUUCUGUCUUUUGGGUGGCUCUCUAUUGAUCCUUAAUCCUAAUUUACUGCAGAUACUUGGGUGAUCAGUUUUGGAAGGAUUUUUAUAGGAGCUCAGAUGCUGAGGCAGAAAAUAUGCCAAUAAAAUGUAAAUGGGAGAGAAAGAAAGUGAAAAACCAAACUUUAAACCUUAUCUAAAUAGAGCUCACUAUUUUAAUUGCCUGGAAUAAGUAUGCCCUCUUUAACAUGCACUAGUAAUUUUACACUUUUAUGGAAUAUUCUGUAAAGGAAUAAUAAGCCUGUUCUUUGCCAGAGUUGUUUUGUUUAAGUUAGAUCCUCUGGAGAAAAAUUCAAGAGGAGAAGCUGCGGAGCGUAAUUUUUUUUAAGUUUCUUUCUGGCCUUGGUUUUGAUUAAAACAUUGUGCAAAGUUCCCCCAGUGAUGUCGUCAAGACCACACUCUGCUUUUCUUACUGCAGAGGCAAGUGUUAACCUCUCCUGAGCAUUUUCCCUUUUUCAGUUCUUAUCAUUGCCAGAUGCGCAAUUAAAUGGUCCCUUCACCUUUAUUGUAGUUUUUGGGGCAUGGUAUUGGAAUUAUUUUUCUUGUUUAUGUACACUGUAGCAGUUGUGGUCUCCAUAUGCUUAUUUGGUUACAUAGCUCUUAAAACCCAGCUGAGAGAUGCAAACUGGUGGGGAAAAAUCACCACUGGUCCCUCUUUAUCUCCUUUUAACCCUCAAAGGGGUAAAUAUGUUUCUAAGCAUCUUUCAGUGAUCAGGCUAUACAUAUACAUAUAUAUACACAUAUACAUAUACACACACACACACACACACACACAUAUAUAUACAUUUUUUUUUUUUUUUUGCUUUCGCAAAAAAGCCUACGGAGGUUCCCAGGCUAGGGGUCUAAUUGGAGCUGUAGCCGUCGCCUACACCACAGCCACAGCAACGCCAGAUCCGAGCCGCACCUGCAACCUAUACCACAGCUCACGGCAACACCGGAUCCUUAACCCACUGAGCAAGGCCAGGGAUUGAACCUGCAACUUCAUGGUUCCUAGUUGGAUUUGUUAACCACUGAGCCAUGACAGGAACUUCCAGGCAAUAUUUUUGUAUAGUUCCUCAGUAUCAAGAAUGAAGAGGCCUAAACUAUUGAACUUAACCUUGUCACUUAAAAAGCAUUGGGCUAUUGAGAUAGCACCUUUUAGGUAAGAUACCAUAGGAAGAUAAGUUACAAGCUGAGAUGUAGUGAAAUCAAUAUAUGUAGAAACUAGGCUUUUUGUGUUUGGGGAAGGGGACACGUUAGAAUAUCUUGACAUAUAUAUAUAUAUAAAGAAAACAACUUCAAAGAACACUGGGGUUUAAUAAUUUAACUUAAAGUCAUACAUUGAAUUGAAUUAAUUUUUCAUAAUGCUGUGGUUAGAGAAAACCCAAAUAUCCUGUUUUAUGAGAAUCUGGGGUAUGGACAGUAGAAAGUACUAAUAUGCCACCAUCGCUGAAAGACUCACAGAAAUAAAACCGCUAGGAUGCACAUGCUUUUUGGCAUGAUUUUUUAAACUUUCCCAUGAAAGCUAUAUAUAAAUAAUUAUAAAGACAAUAUAUAUUUGUCUUUUGUCUUUUUAGGGCCACAGCCAAGGCAUAUGGAGGUUCCCAGGCUAGAGGUCAAAUCAGAGCUGCAGCUGCCAGCCUGCGCCACAGCCAUAGCAACGCCAGAUCCAAACCAUGUCUGUGACCUACCAGAUCCUUAACCCACUGAGCAAGGCCAGGGAUCAAACCUGUGUCCUCAUGGAUACCAGUCGGGUUUGGUGACCACUGAGCCAUGACAGCAUCUCCCAAAAUGAUAUAUUUUUAAUGUGUGACUGUUCUGUCUAAUAGGAAGCAAGGAAAUUGGCUUUAAAGGAGAGGAGUCUAUCCCAUCCCAUUAGAAUCAUGAAACUUUCCAUUUCCACUUGUUCAGAGUGUUUUAUGUUGUUUUGUUUUCUUUGCCUGUUUUUGUCAGAAAGUGUGCAAAGCAGGCGGGGUUGUCCCUAAGACUAAGAGCAUGUGAACCCCAAUACCCUUUGCUUACAGUGGCCGCCGUGUGGAAGGUCACGCAUCCUUAACAGAGUCUGUAGUGAAGCAGCACAUGUGGGAGGAUCAGGGGAGCAUCUCUCCGUCCGAAAGGCUUUAGAGAGGGGGUUGCACAUAACACAUGACCCUGCGUCUUAAACUUGCCCUCUUCCAUUCUGCCUGCGUCUCAGAGAAGAAAGUUUCGGGGGUUUUUCUAUUGAUUCCAAAAGCAUGUGUGAGAGGUUCUGUAUUACUUAUGAUAAAGAAGAUGAAAAUAAAUGCAUUUAUUAUAAGCCAAGUUUAAGUCAGGAAAAGUGAGGGUACUUUAAAAGUUAGCAGACUAUUCCUUUGCCUGGUUCUAUAUUCCAAGUGCACAUGUAGGUUGGAUUAGGGCAGUUGUUGAUAGAUUGAUAGAUUUCAGCUCAUCCCCCUUUCAGCAAAUCUAAUGGUACUUUAUUGCACUUUACUUUGGCUCUGCAAGGGUUCUCCAUAUUCUUAAAAUCCACUGCAGAGCGUUUGCACAGACGGGGGGAGAUCUCUGUCAGUGAUAGGGAAGCUGAUCAACGUCAAAGCUUCUUGGUGCUGUUGGGGAACUUGGCAGAGAGUAGGCUCAUGGCAGCAGGAGAUAUUUCUGUGCACUUUUCAUGAGUCUCAUGGGACACUUGUAAAUGAUUUUGGUGGUUCCUUCUCACCCUUUUGUUCCAUUUUUGUCUGAACUGAAUAUCGAUGCAACUGGGGCGUAGAAGCAAUGCCAAGUAGUUCUGCUGGGAGCCACCUGGGAAGUCCAACACAACACUAGCAUAGAUAUGCUGCUCGCCCUCAAAGUGCUGGAGUUGACUGGUGAUGAGGUAUGAAGCUGAGGCUCCUGAGUCCGUCUUCUAUUAGAUAAAACUCUGCUUUUUUGCCGUCUACUUAAUAGCAUGUUACCUUCCUCAUUUUCACGUCUUCUAAGUUUGUGGAAUCUCUCUAAUUCUUAAAAAUAUAGCUAUUAAAAAUGAAAAGCAGGCUGAAGUUGUAGAUACUAAACUGAAUUACCCUUUUUUCCCCUAUUCUCAUCCUUGAUCCUUGCCCAUUCCCUAAAGCUUAUAAAUAUUUUGUGGAAGAGCUGUGGGGGGUAUAAGAAACAAAAUGUUUUUGUAAAAAUAUUUACCAAGAGAAUAUGGAUACAGAGAAUAAAAUGAAGAAAACAAAACAUCUUAGCCUAAAUUUUCAACUUUGUUAAAAAUUGGAAACUUCUAAUCUUUAUUUUAUAUUGAUAAUGAUAAAAAAGCCUUAAAUUAAAACUCGUCUUUACAGACAUCUAUUGUGCUUUGUCAACAUGACGUGAUGCUUUUCUAUUCAGCCAUUUUCAAGCUUCCAAACAAUUGAAAUAGAAAAGAGGAAAAUAUUUUAUGGCAACAUAUAUAUCAUUCGUAAAACCGAU